RNAcentral lists this ribosomal RNA (776 nucleotides) under uncultured Neocallimastigales. Its description in RNAcentral is "partial large subunit ribosomal RNA". It matches the Rfam family "Eukaryotic large subunit ribosomal RNA", at positions 24 to 620 of the family's 3401-position model. Lineage: Eukaryota; Fungi; Neocallimastigomycota; Neocallimastigomycetes; Neocallimastigales. The record is from RNAcentral.
UAUGUGAUCGUCUCUCGCAUAUCAAUAAGCGGAGGAAAAGAAACUAACAAGGAUUCCCUUAGUAACGGCGAGUGAAGCGGGAAGAGCUCAAAUUUGAAAUCUUCAAGGUUUUACCUUGACGAAUUGUAGUUUAAAGAAGUGUUUUCUGUUGAAGUUUUGGUAAAAGUUCUUUGGAAUAGGACAUCAUAGAGGGUGAGAAUCCCGUAUUUGACCAUUAUUUUCAGCUGUGUGAUACACUUUCAAAGAGUCGGAUUGUUUGGGAAUGCAGUCCAAAAUGGGUGGUAAAUUUCAUCUAAAGCUAAAUAUUGGCGAAGAGACCGAUAGCGAACAAGUACCGUGAGGGAAAGAUGAAAAGAACUUUGAAAAGAGAGUUAAACAGUACGUGAAAUUGUCAAAAGGGAAGCGUUUGACACCAGUGUUGUUUUCUCGAAAAUCAAUUAAAAAGAGUUUGAUUUUGUUGUGUAUUGACCUUAACAGCUUGCAUUUCAAUUUUCUUGCUUUUUUUAAUGCACUUUUCGUUUAACAAGUCAACAUCAGUUUCCUUUUGUUGUAAAAAGGUCAUUGGAAGGUGGCUUUCUUUUCGGAGAAAGUGUUUAUAGCCUUUGACUCCUGCAAUCGGAGAGACUGAGGUCUGCAGCGUAGAUCCUUCGGGGUUAGAUACAUUUGUGCUAAGUUAUAGCUUUUUAUAGACAACUUGUUGACUAUGAUUAGUCUUGUAGCUUACUCGCUUAUGCUAUUUUACCUACGCUUAGGAUGUUGAAGAUGUAGCACAUCAU